GUCCACGCUGUAAACGAUGAAUGCUAGGUGUAGCGGGUAUCGACCCCUGCUGUGCCGGAGUAAACACAAUAAGCAUUCCGCCUGGGGGAGUACGGCCGCAAGGUUGAAACUCAAAGGAAUUGACGGGGGGCCCGCACAAGCAGCGGAGCAUGUUGUUUAAUUCGAAGCAACGCGAAGAACCUUACCAGGUCUUGACAUCGAGGUAAACUGCUAGAGAUAGCAGGUGGAUUCGUCCGACCGAAGACAGGUGGUGCAUGGUUGUCGU
RNAcentral lists this ribosomal RNA (265 nucleotides) under uncultured bacterium. RNAcentral's name for it is "partial 16S ribosomal RNA". It matches the Rfam family "Bacterial small subunit ribosomal RNA", at positions 793 to 1055 of the family's 1533-position model. The record is from RNAcentral.